Hordeum vulgare subsp. vulgare (domesticated barley) is the source of this 1543-nucleotide long non-coding RNA. RefSeq lists it as uncharacterized. The record is from RefSeq and is a predicted model, not a curated record. Lineage: Eukaryota; Viridiplantae; Streptophyta; Magnoliopsida; Poales; Poaceae. The transcript is spliced from 2 exons.
CCCGUCCUCGGCAUAUCCUCCAAGCAAACAACCAACAAAGCCGCCGCGUUCUCCUCUGCGGCACGCAACCUUUUCCCCUCCCCCCUUGACUAGACCAGAUUCUUGAUAUAGAAGAACACGCCGUGUCCUCCCAACCACAACUACCUCUAUCUCGGCAAGGUGAGGGUGAGUCCGUGAGGCAAUCUCACAUGAUUUUCUGCGCGAAACCCCCCGUGUUCCCUCUGGUUCGCAGGUUCCUCGUUGAUCGGCGGGUUGGGCUCGGGGCGAUCUUGGAGCGAGGCGCGAGGCGGCUUCUUCUUCGCACGUAGGCUUCAGCUCUGCCUGUCAGGCGAGUCAGAUCUGUCACCUAUCUGAUGGCCCACGGAGGAUCUGGUUGUUCCCGGCGGUCUCGAGUCGACUCUGCGGCGAGGAAGUCGUCUUCUCCGACGUGCACAUGGGGAUCCCGUCUUCUCCACACCCCGCGACGACGACGGCUCUUGUAUUGAUAAUUAUUCGAUGAUAUUUCGAUAAUUAUUAGAUCUAAGAGAUCGGAGGUAAGAACAUGUAACAAGCGAGGCGAUCGUGCCGAGAAGGAGAAAGGAGUGAAAAAAGAGAGAGAUGUGACAUCUAGAGGCCUUUGCCAUGUUGGGUGCGCUCGCAUGGCAGGCCGCCACCGUAAUAAAGAUGUUUCUUGUGUCCCGGGGGGGAGAUCGCACGGGGGUUAUUCUUUUUCAGCCCCGGGGUCUCCCCCCACCGUGUCCUGGUGUGCUCCUUUGUCUACACCUAUAGCCCGAUCCGUCUUCCUGGCACAACGCUCUACCGUCCCGAAUCGAUCAUGGAGCUACCGACCAAAGACCAAAGGUACAAUCGAUAAUCUACAGCUGAGGCAUACAUAAACCUAGUCAAAGUCUGAUCUUCGUAUGAGAACUUUGAAUUCUGUUAUGAGUUCGUUUACACACAAGAACUCACAAUUAUUGGAACACAGUUAAGUUAGAUGUAGAGAAAUCAUUUGUAUGAUUCGCUGUUACUGUACUAUCAAAUCACAGCUCAAAUUAAUACGACCAAAUCAAUUCAUAUUGGCCUCAGAUUCUAUAUAUUUGUUUUUGGUAUCAGUAUAUUUUUAUUGUAUCAGAUGAAGUAUAUUUUUAUUACCUUCUGAUAAUAUUGUAUAUAUGUCAAAGGAUGUUAUUUUAUCUGAAUUUGUCUUCACUUAUUUGUCUACUCACUUGAGAUGUAUAAUGAACAUAAUUUGAUCUGUGAGCUACACUGUUUAUCGUGGUUUUCUAUUCAAUUUGUAAACUCUCUCCUAAUGUAGCCUGAUCAUCAGUAUGAUUGGAUUAUUUAUAAGACAAAUGAAGUCUACAGCUAUCUUCCCUGGACGUGGACACCCUUUUCAUUCCAUUGGCUGAAGUGACUGAAGCAGUUUGAAGAAGGCGUCACCUUUAUUUUGCAAUAUGUUCACCUAAAUUUGUAGCCAUUGGAUGCUCAUAGGACUUGUUCAGAUACUGGUUAGGAUGUACUCGUAAAUUAAGUGCUAUUUGAUUCUUCUGCAGUUGGUGCGUUA